This 239-nucleotide ribosomal RNA is filed under the name uncultured bacterium. RNAcentral describes it as "partial 16S ribosomal RNA". It matches the Rfam family "Bacterial small subunit ribosomal RNA", at positions 96 to 334 of the family's 1533-position model. The record is from RNAcentral.
UGGCGGACGGGUGAGUAACGCGUGGGUAACCUACCCUGUACAGGGGGAUAACAGUCAGAAAUGACUGCUAAUACCGCAUAAGACCACAGCACCGCAUGGUGCAGGGGUAAAAACUACCGGUGGUACAGGAUGGACCCGCGUCUGAUUAGCUGGUUGGUGAGGUAACGGCUCACCAAGGCGACGAUCGGUAGCCGGACUGAGAGGUUGAACGGCCACAUUGGGACUGAGACACGGCCCAG